UACGUAGGGACCGAGCGUUGUCCGGAAUCAUUGGGCGUAAAGAGCGUGUAGGCGGCUUGCUAAGUCCUGCGUGAAAUCUCGGGGCUCAACCCCGAGCGGUCGUGGGAAACUGGCAGGCUAGAGUGCGGGAGAGGAGAGUGGAAUUCCUGGUGUAGCUGUGAAAUGCGCAGAUAUCAGGAAGAACACCCGUGGCGAAGGCGGUUCUCUGGGACGGUACUGACGCUGAGACGCGAAAGCGUGGGGAGCGAACAGG
Molecule: ribosomal RNA, 253 nt
Filed under: uncultured bacterium
Lineage: Bacteria
Description: partial 16S ribosomal RNA
Rfam family: Bacterial small subunit ribosomal RNA
Source: RNAcentral